RNAcentral lists this unclassified non-coding RNA (153 nucleotides) under uncultured Basidiomycota. RNAcentral's name for it is "sequence contains ITS1". The record is from RNAcentral. Lineage: Eukaryota; Fungi; Basidiomycota.
GUGAUUUUAACCAUGGCCGAGAGGCUGGGGCGCGCAGGAGGGUUGCCUUUCGAGGUGCUGCUCGGCCGUCCGAAUAUCUAACCAAAAACAAACUGUGCACGCCUUUGGGCAUUACAAACCAUUAGUAUUGAAUGUAAAACAAACAAGUUAAUA